RNAcentral lists this ribosomal RNA (253 nucleotides) under uncultured bacterium. Its description in RNAcentral is "partial 16S ribosomal RNA". It matches the Rfam family "Bacterial small subunit ribosomal RNA", at positions 524 to 776 of the family's 1533-position model. The record is from RNAcentral.
UACAGAGGUGGCAAGCGUUGUUCGGAAUUACUGGGCGUAAAGGGCGCGUAGGCGGCCUUCUAAGUCAGACGUGAAAUCCCCCGGCUUAACCUGGGAACUGCGUCUGAUACUGGAAGGCUUGAGUGCGGGAGAGGGAUGUGGAAUUCCAGGUGUAGCGGUGAAAUGCGUAGAUAUCGGGAGGAACACCAGUGGCGAAGGCGACUUCCUGGCCUGUUCUUGACGCUGAGGCGCGAAAGCUAUGGUAGCAAACGGG